AUAAUCGGGGGUGCUGAAUGUGAUUCGGCUGAGAGGAGGAUAAAAUCCGAAAACCCUUCUAACCUGAUAUGGAUAAUACCGGCGCAGGAAGAUUA
This 95-nucleotide non-coding RNA is filed under the name human gut metagenome. RNAcentral's name for it is "TPP riboswitch (THI element)". It matches the Rfam family "TPP riboswitch aptamer (THI element)", at positions 6 to 93 of the family's 105-position model. From Rfam's summary of the family: Vitamin B(1) in its active form thiamin pyrophosphate (TPP) is an essential coenzyme that is synthesised by coupling of pyrimidine and thiazole moieties in bacteria. The previously detected thiamin-regulatory element, thi box was extended, resulting in a new, highly conserved RNA secondary structure, the THI element, which is widely distributed in eubacteria and also occurs in some archaea. Analysis of operon structures identified a large number of new candidate thiamin-regulated genes, mostly transporters, in various prokaryotic organisms. The record is from RNAcentral.